This 465-nucleotide ribosomal RNA is filed under the name Vreelandella stevensii. RNAcentral's name for it is "partial 16S ribosomal RNA". It matches the Rfam family "Bacterial small subunit ribosomal RNA", at positions 338 to 795 of the family's 1533-position model. Lineage: Bacteria; Pseudomonadati; Pseudomonadota; Gammaproteobacteria; Oceanospirillales; Halomonadaceae. The record is from RNAcentral.
CCUACGGGGGGCUGCAGUGGGGAAUAUUGGACAAUGGGGGCAACCCUGAUCCAGCCAUGCCGCGUGUGUGAAGAAGGCCCUCGGGUUGUAAAGCACUUUCAGUGAGGAAGAACGCCUGGUGGUUAAUACCCAUCAGGAAAGACAUCACUCACAGAAGAAGCACCGGCUAACUCCGUGCCAGCAGCCGCGGUAAUACGGAGGGUGCGAGCGUUAAUCGGAAUUACUGGGCGUAAAGCGCGCGUAGGUGGCUUGAUAAGCCGGUUGUGAAAGCCCCGGGCUCAACCUGGGAACGGCAUCCGGAACUGUCAAGCUAGAGUGCAGGAGAGGAAGGUAGAAUUCCCGGUGUAGCGGUGAAAUGCGUAGAGAUCGGGAGGAAUACCAGUGGCGAAGGCGGCCUUCUGGACUGCCACUGACACUGAGGUGCGAAAGCGUGGGUAGCAAACAGGAUUAGAUACCCCGGUAGUC